This is a small nucleolar RNA of Impatiens glandulifera, 79 nucleotides long. RefSeq annotates it as small nucleolar RNA snoR14. The transcript has a single exon. The record is from RefSeq and is a predicted model, not a curated record. Lineage: Eukaryota; Viridiplantae; Streptophyta; Magnoliopsida; Ericales; Balsaminaceae.
GUGAGGUGACGAUAAAAUUCAUUAUUCACUGAUUUUUUUAAAGUGAUGUUAAAAGUGAAUCUCGACAGGUUCUGAUUGC